AUUGAACGCUGGCGGCAUGCUUUACACAUGCAAGUCGAACGGUAACAGGCCUUCGGGUGCUGACGAGUGGCGAACGGGUGAGUAAUGCAUCGGAACGUACCCAGAGGUGGGGGAUAACGCAGCGAAAGCUGUGCUAAUACCGCAUGUGAUCUGAGGAUGAAAGCGGGGGACCGAGCAGCAAUGUUUGGCCUCGCGCCUUUGGAGCGGCCGAUGUCGGAUUAGCUAGUUGGUGGGGUAAAGGCCUACCAAGGCGACGAUCCGUAGCUGGUCUGAGAGGACGACCAGCCACACUGGAACUGAGACACGGCCCAGACUCCGACGGGAGGCAGCAGUGGGGAAUUUUGGACAAUGGGCGCAAGCCUGAUCCAGCAAUGCCGCGUGCGGGAAGAAGGCCUUCGGGUUGUAAACCGCUUUUGGCAGGAACGAAACGGUGUCCGCUAAUACCGGGCGCUAAUGACGGUACCUGCAGAAUAAGCACCGGCUAACUACGU
Molecule: ribosomal RNA, 491 nt
Filed under: uncultured bacterium
Lineage: Bacteria
Description: partial 16S ribosomal RNA
Rfam family: Bacterial small subunit ribosomal RNA
Source: RNAcentral